Molecule: long non-coding RNA, 1346 nt
Organism: Diachasma alloeum
Lineage: Eukaryota; Metazoa; Arthropoda; Insecta; Hymenoptera; Braconidae
Exons: 3
Source: RefSeq, a predicted model, not a curated record
GGCGACAGGGUAUCGACGCCCUCUCUACAAUGUUCAGAAGCAUGGUUUCACCCAAACCAUGCCUCUUAGACCACCGUAUACUUGUCGAAUAAAUUACAUAUUUUUCAAAAAUAAUCAUUGUAAUAAUUAGGUGAUGAUUUGGAAAAAUUUAGAAACGCUUUUUCAUAAUUUGGAAACAAAUAGUUAUUCAGUAAUUAAUAAAAAACUGUUGGGCCGUAUACUUGGCAAACAGUGACCGAAAUUAAUAAAAUUUCACUUUAAUCGAUGUAGAACAAUUUGGAAAUAAUAGUGAGAAUGUUUUUUUCAUUUGGAAAUGUAAUAUUGCAUCGAAAAUUAAUAAAAAAGGAAUGAAGUUAUUAUUGUUCAGGAGUCACGUGACCGAGUCUUCCCCUUCCCAUCACUUAACCCAUUUACAUAUAAUAAAAGUGAGGUUAUGUCCCUCUCGCGAACAUGAAUGUUCCCCUGUCACGUACCUUUAAACAAUCUCCUGAAAAUUAUGAGUAAGUGGUUGAAUGAAAAAUUGACGACAUUUAAAAACAAAAUCACUGGACCCCUGAUAAAACAUGAAAGGAUUUAUAGAGAGGCAGACAGUGUCGGAGUGUUUCGUUGCUGAAAUCUCUAAGCAUCAGAAGCCCAAAGCCCCCAGGAAAGGAAAAUCCAUGGAGAUGAAAUACUAAAAAGAACCCUCCGAAUUCCCUAAAAUCAGAACUGAAAAAGCUGGCGAAAUCUCCGAAAAAUGAAGAGACAGAUAACAGAUAACUGGCAGGAGACGUUCGAGCUCUCCAGUGGACGAAAUGGGCUGCCACAAAAGUGCUCGGACGAAAAAGCGAGUCUUUCAGAUUUUCGAUUCCAGUUGCUGCUAGAUCUUGUGUUGAUCAGUUAAACAAAGGAUUAGGUGAUAUACGCAGCUAUGGAGAGACUCCAAAAUUAUGGGUGUACUCCGGAUCUUCUGAUCAAGACUUCUGACAAUGUUCUUAGGAAAUUAAUUCAUCCUCCCGGAGUCCAGUAUAUAUUAAGAAAAAUCUCUAAAGUCGAAUUAGCUGAAAACACUCGAGGUUCACUGAGAAUUGAAGUUUUUGUAGCCAAUAAUUCGGGGGUCCAAGUUUUCACACAAAAAUCACCUGAGAGAAUGCCGAGAUUGAACUCCGCCUCUCAGGAGCUUCAGAGGGAAACGAAGAUUUUGGGAAUGCCCAUGGCUCCAAGAGCUGACCAAAAAUGCAGUCAUCCACAACGCCCUCCCCAUCGGAGGAGAGUAUUGAUAGUCAUAGGAUGAGUGGAGUUGGAGUAAAACAAAUAACAGCAGAAAAAAAAUUGACGAAGAAGGCGCAGUUUAAGCAGGAGAGACC